UCAUAGCGUCCUUUGUAACGGGUAGAACAUGAUGAUUAUUGCAACAGGAGGCACUGAACUCGCUGGGCAUUUGGAAAACCGUAUUUGCAGCUGCCCCUGGGCCUGCACCAAAGGCCCC
RNAcentral lists this long non-coding RNA (118 nucleotides) under Falco tinnunculus (common kestrel). Its description in RNAcentral is "lncRNA (ENSFTIG00000011626.1)". Lineage: Eukaryota; Metazoa; Chordata; Aves; Falconiformes; Falconidae. The record is from RNAcentral.